Gymnodraco acuticeps is the source of this 152-nucleotide long non-coding RNA. RefSeq lists it as uncharacterized. Lineage: Eukaryota; Metazoa; Chordata; Actinopteri; Perciformes; Bathydraconidae. The record is from RefSeq and is a predicted model, not a curated record. The transcript is spliced from 3 exons.
CAACCACACCUGCAGAAGCUCGGAAACAGUUUGUUCCCAGUGAUCCCAGGAAGAGUUGGAUCCUGGUGCACUCCUUCCUCCCAGUGGAGCCCUGCAGCAGCCUGGACGACGCCCCCAUCACAGACUCUCUCCGCUGGGGACAGGAGUGAAAG